Molecule: ribosomal RNA, 526 nt
Filed under: Hymenoscyphus fraxineus
Lineage: Eukaryota; Fungi; Ascomycota; Leotiomycetes; Helotiales; Helotiaceae
Description: eukaryotic LSU rRNA
Rfam family: 5.8S ribosomal RNA (bases 177-330)
Source: RNAcentral
CCUGCGGAAGGAUCAUUACAGAGUUCCUGCCCUCACGGGUAGAAACCCCACCCUUGUGUAUAUUAUAUUGUUGCUUUAGCAGGUCGCCCUCUGGGCGUCGGCCUCGGCUGACUGUGCCUGCUAGAGGACCCUAAAUUUUGAAAUACAGUGUCGUCUGAGUACUAUUUAAUAGUUAAAACUUUCAACAACGGAUCUCUUGGUUCUGGCAUCGAUGAAGAACGCAGCGAAAUGCGAUAAGUAAUGUGAAUUGCAGAAUUCAGUGAAUCAUCGAAUCUUUGAACGCACAUUGCGCCCCUUGGUAUUCCGGGGGGCAUGCCUGUUCGAGCGUCAUUUAGACCAACUCCCGCUCCGGCGGGGUCUUGGGCUGCGCCUUUGGGCGGGCCUUAAAACCAGUGGCGGUGCCCUAAGGCUCUACGCGUAGUAAUUCUUCUCGCGAUAGGGUCCUUGCGGUGUCUUGCCAGCAACCCCCAACUCUCUAGGGUUGACCUCGGAUCAGGUAGGGAUACCCGCUGAACUUAAGCAUAUC